RNAcentral lists this transfer RNA (78 nucleotides) under Candidatus Nanopelagicales bacterium. Its description in RNAcentral is "tRNA-Val". It matches the Rfam family "tRNA". From Rfam's summary of the family: Transfer RNA (tRNA) molecules are approximately 80 nucleotides in length. Their secondary structure includes four short double-helical elements and three loops (D, anti-codon, and T loops). Lineage: Bacteria; Bacillati; Actinomycetota; Actinomycetes; Candidatus Nanopelagicales. The record is from RNAcentral.
GCACCCGUAGCGCAGCCUGGUUAGCGCACCUCCCUGACACGGAGGGGGUCCCCAGUUCAAAUCUGGGCGGGUGCACCA